UGCAGUCGAACGGUCUCUUCGGAGGCAGUGGCAGACGGGUGAGUAAUGCAUGGGAAUCUACCAUUCUCUACGGAAUAACUCAGGGAAACUUGUGCUAAUACCGUAUACGCCCUUUUGGGGAAAGAUUUAUCGGAGAGUGAUGAGCCCAUGUUGGAUUAGCUAGUUGGUGGGGUAAAGGCCUACCAAGGCGACGAUCCAUAGCUGGUCUGAGAGGAUGAUCAGCCACACUGGGACUGAGACACGGCCCAGACUACUACGGGAGGCAGCAGUGGGGAAUAUUGGACAAUGGGCGCAAGCCUGAUCCAGCCAUGCCGCGUGAGUGAUGAAGGUCUUAGGAUUGUAAAGCUCUUUCACCGGUGAAGAUAAUGACGGUAACCGGAGAAGAAGCCCCGGCUAACUUCGUGCCAGCAGCCGCGGUAAUACGAAGGGGGCUAGCGUUGUUCGGAUUUACUGGGCGUAAAGCGCACGUAGGCGGACUUUUAAGUCAGGGGUGAAAUCCCAGAGCUCAACUCUGGAACUGCCUUUGAUACUGGAAGUCUUGAGUAUGGAAGAGGUGAGUGGAAUUCCGAGUGUAGAGGUGAAAUUCGUAGAUAUUCGGAGGAACACCAGUGGCGAAGGCGGCUCACUGGUCCAUUACUGACGCUGAGGUGCGAAAGCGUGGGGAGCAAACAGGAUUAGAUACCCCGGUAGUCCACGCCGUAAACGAUGAAUGUUAGCCGUCGGGGUGUUUACACUUCGGUGGCGCAGCUAACGCAUUAAACAUUCCGCCUGGGGAGUACGGUCGCAAGAUUAAAACUCAAAGGAAUUGACGGGGGCCCGCACAAGCGGUGGAGCAAGUGGUUUAAUUCGAAGCAACGCGCAGAACCUUACCAGCCC
RNAcentral lists this ribosomal RNA (876 nucleotides) under Brucella grignonensis. RNAcentral describes it as "bacterial SSU rRNA". It matches the Rfam family "Bacterial small subunit ribosomal RNA", at positions 56 to 980 of the family's 1533-position model. Lineage: Bacteria; Pseudomonadati; Pseudomonadota; Alphaproteobacteria; Hyphomicrobiales; Brucellaceae. The record is from RNAcentral.